GAGGGUGGGGGGAGGAGGA
RNAcentral lists this microRNA (19 nucleotides) under Macrophomina phaseolina MS6. RNAcentral's name for it is "miR-3141". Lineage: Eukaryota; Fungi; Ascomycota; Dothideomycetes; Botryosphaeriales; Botryosphaeriaceae. The record is from RNAcentral.